RNAcentral lists this transfer RNA (72 nucleotides) under Phrynosoma platyrhinos (Desert horned lizard). RNAcentral describes it as "tRNA-OTHER". Lineage: Eukaryota; Metazoa; Chordata; Lepidosauria; Squamata; Phrynosomatidae. The record is from RNAcentral.
GUCAGUGUCAUGUAGUGGUUUGAGUAUUGGACUAUGACUCUUAAGACCAGGGUUCAAUUCCCAGCUUGGCCA